This is a long non-coding RNA of Pelmatolapia mariae (spotted tilapia), 1994 nucleotides long. RefSeq lists it as uncharacterized. The record is from RefSeq and is a predicted model, not a curated record. Lineage: Eukaryota; Metazoa; Chordata; Actinopteri; Cichliformes; Cichlidae. The transcript has 4 exons.
AAAGUGUGUGUGCGGGAGAGGAGUCGAGCAGAGAAAGCUGUUUUGUCAUGAAACGGGUGUAAAGCAGUGAACUUAGAGGAGAGAAACAAACUAAAGUAUCGAUCAUAUACCACUACCAACGUUUGGAUCGAUAUCUGCAUCGAUCUGCCCACCCUCGUCUCCUGGAUCGUAGCUGAGAUCAGCGUGAACCACGUGGGUCUCUGCUCCCUGAUCUGUUUGCUGUGUUUGGAAAGAGUUCCAGCUUCAUCACGGAGUUUCUCUCGGUUUGUGGGCUCAUCUAAAGCUGAUCAUCAGGAGGAGACGAGCCAUUUAGACUCAGCUCAGCCACUACAGAGGAAACAAUGACUUCAACCCAAAAGGACCAACAUGGAGCGAGAAGUCAGCGCUCUCAGGAGGCCGACAAACCUCACAGAAGAAAGGGACAGAAAAAAUACAGCUGUGAUGAGUGUGGGAAGGAUUUUACUUGUUCUGAACACUUAAAAACACACCAACUCAUCCACAGUGAAGUUAAAGCAUACAACUGUGAGUUGUGUGGAAGAUCUUUUACUGAUCCUGGAAACUUAAAAACACACCAACUCAUCCACAGUGGAUUUAAACCGUACACCUGUGAUGAGUGUGGAAAAUCUUUUCCACGUGCUGGAAGCCUGAAAACACACCAAGUCAUCCACAGUGGAGUUAAAGCGUACAACUGUGACUUGUGUGGAAAAUCUUUUACCCAGACUGGAAGCUUAAAAAGACACCAACUGAGCCACAGUGGAGUUAAAGCGUACACCUGUGACUUGUGUGGAAAAUCUUUUACUCACAGUGGCCAGUUACAGUGUCAUCAAGUUAUCCACUCUGGAAUUAAGCCGUACAGCUGUGACAUUUGUGGAAAAACUUUCAGUCGUGUAGAGAGCCGAAAUAAACACCUACGGAUUCACACUGGACGUGAUGUUUGCUGCUGUGUUCAGUGUGGCAAACUGUUUACAACAAAUGCACACUUACAAGACCACAUGUUUACCCACACUGAGGAGAGACCUUACAAAUGUGACCUGUGUGAGAAGACUUUUAAAGCUCCACGUUACCUGAAAAAACACCAAGAGAUCCACACCAGAAAGAAACUCUACAAGUGCAGUUACUGUGAGAAGCAGAGCGACACAGAUGGAUCCAGUUCUCAACCCUGUCAUCACUGUGGAGGUGGGAAAGACUUUCGUUGUGACCUUUGUGGAAAUACUUUUGUUCACCAACGAAACCUAAAAAUACAUCAACGUACACACACUGGAGACAAAAUGAACUACUGCAAAGAAUGUGGGAAAGGCUUCCCUACAUUAGGUGAUUUAAAAAAACACGAACUAUUCCACAGUGGGGUUAAAAAGCACAUUUGUGACCAGUGUGGGUCAUCCUUCACCACUGCAGGUGAGGUUAAAAGUCAUAAACGAGUCCACACAAGAGAGAAACCAUACAAGUGUAAACACUGUGACAGAAGCUUUUCACAACCAGGGACUCGUAACAAACAUGAAAAUAGACACAUUGAAGGGAACUUCAGCUGUGACCAGUGUGACAAGAGUUUUAAGAAUCUCACUACAUACUCCGAACACAAACGGUCCCAUGCUGUAAAUAAACUGUUUCACUGUUACCAAUGUGCAAAAACAUUCACUUCAUUGUCUGCUCUGUGCAACCAUCAGCGUGAUCAUGAAAUCAUUCCCAUCACUGGAUCACAAUGAAUCUGCAGAGACAGAAAGAUCCUCUUCUGGUUUCAGGGUCAGACUUAAAAACCUUGAGAUCAGGCUCCACAGAGUUCAGAUGGACUCUCCUGUAAAGAGUGUCAGCUGAUGUCAGACUUGGAUCUGAUGAGGUAGCUCUGAUUUCUGGACCUGCAGUGAAUAAUCCUGAAUGUUUAAUUUGGCAUGUUGUUAGUAUAGAUAUGCACAUCAAUUUUCUUUCUUUUAAUUUUUCUUAAUAAGAUAACCUUUAUUAGUCCCACGCGUGGGAAAUUUUAUUGCUCUAAAAUGUUA